CUGAGUGCGGCCGUCUGGCAGACAGGUAUGAGCAGGACUGGGAGGGAUGUGAGGUGGGGAGGCGGCUUUGCCAGCCUGGAGGUGUUGAUACCUGGCUUCUCCUCUGAAUUGAGUAUCACCUGGGGCUUCCCUAAACCACUAGCCCUUCCUGGAGACCCGGAAGCAGUGACACACACAGUAAGCUCUUGAAAAAGAUCAAAUGCUGUCCUCCUGGCAUUUCCAGGCUGAAAAGAGGCCCAAAAACUGAGUGUCCACUAUGACAUCAGCAGCUCACACUGGAACAGUCCUUUCAGACCAUUUCAUAAGUGAAGCCCAAGCCAGAAACACCUGCCAACAUCUGUUCCCCUGCUUCUGUGCACCUUCUGCGCCUGCCCAGCAAGCUUGUGUUGGUUGAAUGAAUUCACGGGACGGAAUGAGGUCAUCACAGUGAAUGGGGGAAGUGAUCAGGUUACACACCCACACUUACACAUCGGGGGAUCCAGAGCCAAGGGAAGGCUGGGCUUGGCCCUGCGCUGGCAGGACUGCACAGCACUGAGACCAAGGAAGCCCGAUGCAGGUGGAAGCCUCAGCCCUGACAGCUGAGCACAGGCAUUUGGGCCAGGUCCAGGGCUCCCAUGAGCAGCACAAGGCUAGCAGAUGAUCAAGUUAGCCCUCAACUGCAGGCAGGAGCAAGGCUUGGACCAGGAGGCACUCAGCCUCAGGAAGAUGUUUUAUCGGCCCAUUAUGUGCACCAGUGCUUAAAACAGACCUUCGGGUCCAAGCCUGCUUUGUACUCAGCAGCUGAAGAUCCCCUCUGGGAAUAAUAUGUGGCUAUAUGCAGCUAUGCAAAGCAGCCCCAGUGACAUUGCUUUUGUAGCCAGGACUUGGGUACUCAACCUCUACAACUCUUUCAAAGUUGACCCAACAGUUCAAGGCCUGUGGAGGAAACCUGGAUUUGCCUGUGCUUUGCAUUUCCUCUGCAAAGUUUCUCUCUUUUGAACUCAAAGAAGUUCCCGCUUUCCCUCAGUGCCGCUUUAUGGCAAUAAAAUGACUUCUGAAAAUCAACCAGAAGCUUCUAGCAAACUAUCCAGAUUUUGAAAUCUGGCCGUUUCUAUUGCAUGGGCUUCCAUUGUGUGACACAUGCAAGACAGUUUCUAAAAUUUUAUUUUGAUGCCACAC
Molecule: long non-coding RNA, 1158 nt
Filed under: Chinchilla lanigera (long-tailed chinchilla)
Lineage: Eukaryota; Metazoa; Chordata; Mammalia; Rodentia; Chinchillidae
Description: lncRNA (ENSCLAG00000028219.1)
Source: RNAcentral